GUAUAGGCCUGGGGGAAAGGCUGCUUCUUGCUCCUCGUCAUCUCCUCCCCGGCGAACUCGACCUUGAGCUUCGCCGCGUUGAAGGUCGUGGGAGGUCCCAGUAUCUUGGCCGCCUGAUACAAGAUUCAUUUCUUCAGGGAGGAGUAGACGUCUGCUGCGGCUGCCCUGGUGUCGCAGCUGACGACCAAGAAGCGCAGCGGUUCCCGCCUGCAGCCACCCCUCCUGCUGCUGCUCGUUACGGCGGCGGACGAGGAGGAGAAGCAGAGUGCGGCGCCGCGCGACGCCAUUGACGGUGUCGUCCACUUGAGAUCAAAUCUGGCACGCUGCAUGAAGCAAGCUAGAUUAAUCCAGAAUGCAGGAGCAGCUAGCUAGCAGACCUCGUGGCAUCUCUCAGGCCCCGCCAUCCAAAACAAAUCAAAUCAAAUCAAGGUCUGUAUUGUGUCUGGUGGUGGCGGUGGUGGUCCAAGGCACGAAGCAGGCAAGAGAGAGAGAGAGAGAGAGAGAGAGAGAGACAGAGAGAGAGACGUGGCCGCUGCCAUUGCUUUGUGGCUGUGGAAUGUUACCAACUAAUAGAAAUUGAGAGGGGAGAAUUGGGGAUCGAGCAAUUCAUCUGUUCUUCCA
Long non-coding RNA from Phragmites australis (common reed), 621 nucleotides. RefSeq lists it as uncharacterized. The transcript has 3 exons. NCBI's taxonomy places the organism in Eukaryota, Viridiplantae, Streptophyta, Magnoliopsida, Poales, Poaceae. The record is from RefSeq and is a predicted model, not a curated record.